RNAcentral lists this ribosomal RNA (378 nucleotides) under uncultured eukaryote. Its description in RNAcentral is "partial 18S ribosomal RNA". It matches the Rfam family "Eukaryotic small subunit ribosomal RNA", at positions 592 to 976 of the family's 1831-position model. The record is from RNAcentral.
CAAUAGCGUAUAUUAAAGUUGUUGCAGUUAAAAAGCUCGUAGCUGGAUUUCGGGAUGGCCCGGCCGGUCUGCCGCAAGGUAUGUUACUGGCCGAGCUGUUCUUCUUCGCAAAGACUGUGUGUGCUCUUAACUGAGUGUGCUCAGGAUCUGUGACGUUUACUUUGAAAAAAUUAGAGUGUUCAAAGCAAGCCAGCGCUUGAAUACAUAAGCAUGGAAUAAUGGAAUAGGACUUUGGUUCUAUUUUGUUGGUUUCUGGAACCUUAGUAAUGAUUAAGAGAGACAGUUGGGGGCAUUCGUAUUUCGUUGUCAGAGGUGAAAUUCUUGGAUUUACGAAAGACGAACUACUGCGAAAGCAUUUGCCAAGAAUGUUUUCAUUAA